CUGCAGCUAAUGAAGCCAACCAUGCUCCUUUCCUCAUGGGGGCCUGGAGUGCAAUGGCUGCAAAUAGCAGCAUCCUUGGUAGUAUGUGCAGCCUGUUGCUUAUAUAGGUUGCUCUAAGGGACCUCAGAGACAUUC
Molecule: small nucleolar RNA, 135 nt
Organism: Otolemur garnettii (small-eared galago)
Lineage: Eukaryota; Metazoa; Chordata; Mammalia; Primates; Galagidae
Gene: SNORA70
Rfam family: Small nucleolar RNA SNORA70
About the family: snoRNA U70 seems to be exclusive to mammals and is a member of the H/ACA class of snoRNA which contain H (ANANNA) and ACA box motifs. H/ACA box snoRNAs are involved in the conversion of uridines to pseudouridines (5-ribosyluracil) a constituent of structural RNAs (transfer, ribosomal, small nuclear, and small nucleolar).
Source: Ensembl